GAUGAACGCUAGCGGGAGGCUUAACACAUGCAAGUCGAGGGGUAACAGGGGUAGCAAUACCUGCUGACGACCGGCGUACGGGUGAGUAACGCGUAUGCAACCUGCCCUAUACAGGAGGAUAGCCCGGAGAAAUUCGGAUUAAUACUCCAUGUAGCAUUUUUUUCGCAUGAAUUAGAUGUUAAAGAUUUAUCGGUAUAGGAUGGGCAUGCGUCCCAUUAGCUAGUUGGUAAGGUAACGGCUUACCAAGGCUAUGAUGUUUAGGGGUCCUGAGAGGGUGGUCCCCCACACUGGUACUGAGACACGGCCCAGACUCCUACGGGAGGCAGCAGUGAGGAAUAUUGGUCAAUGGGCGCAAGCCUGAACCAGCCAUCCCGCGUGCAGGAAGACGGCCCUAUGGGUUGUAAACUGCUUUUCCAGGGAGAGAAACUUACGCACGUGUUGCGUGACUGACGGUACCCUGGGAAUAAGCAUCGGCUAACUCCGUG
This 485-nucleotide ribosomal RNA is filed under the name uncultured bacterium. RNAcentral's name for it is "bacterial SSU rRNA". It matches the Rfam family "Bacterial small subunit ribosomal RNA", at positions 28 to 507 of the family's 1533-position model. The record is from RNAcentral.